AGUGGCGGACGGGUGAGUAACGCGUGAGUAACCUGCCUUUCAGAGGGGGAUAACAAUCUGAAAAGAUUGCUAAUACCGCAUGACAUAUUCGGGUCGCAUGGCUUGGAUAUCAAAGGAGCAAUCCGCUGAAAGAUGGACUCGCGUCCGAUUAGCUAGUUGGAGGGGUAACGGCCCACCAAGGCGACGAUCGGUAGCCGGACUGAGAGGUUGAACGGCCACAUUGGGACUGAGACACGGCCCAGACUCCUACGGGAGGCAGCAGUGGGGGAUAUUGCGCAAUGGGGGAAACCCUGACGCAGCAACGCCGCGUGAAGGAAGACGGUUUUCGGAUUGUAAACUUCUUUUGUUAAGGACGAAGAAAGUGACGGUACUUAACGAAUAAGCUCCGGCUAACUAUGUGCCAGCAGCCGCGGUAAUACAUAGGGAGCAAGCGUUGUCCGGAUUUACUGGGUGUAAAGGGUGCGUAGGCGGCAAGGCAAGUCAGAUGUGAAAUGUAAGGGCUCAACCCUUAAGCUGCAUUUGAAACUGUUUUGCUUGAGUGAAGUAGAGGCAGGCGGAAUUCCCGGUGUAGCGGUGAAAUGCGUAGAGAUCGGGAGGAACACCAGUGGCGAAGGCGGCCUGCUGGGCUUUAACUGACGCUGAGGCACGAAAGCGUGGGUAGCAAACAGGAUUAGAUACCCUGGUAGUCCACGCUGUAAACGAUGAUUACUAGGUGU
This 716-nucleotide ribosomal RNA is filed under the name uncultured bacterium. RNAcentral's name for it is "bacterial SSU rRNA". It matches the Rfam family "Bacterial small subunit ribosomal RNA", at positions 94 to 823 of the family's 1533-position model. The record is from RNAcentral.